AAAAAGACAAACCCUAGUUUCCGUGUCCAACGUUUGACCGUCCAUCUUAUUUGAAAAAAUUAUGAAAAAAAUUUAAAAGACAAGUCACGCAUAAAAUAUUAAUCAUGUUUUAUCAUCUAACAACAAUGAAAAUACGAAUUAUAAAAAAAAUUCAUAUAAGACGGACAGUCAAAGUUGGACACGAAAACUCAAGGUUUGGCUUUUU
This 205-nucleotide microRNA precursor is filed under the name Oryza nivara. RNAcentral's name for it is "MIR812 microRNA precursor family". It matches the Rfam family "MIR812 microRNA precursor family". Lineage: Eukaryota; Viridiplantae; Streptophyta; Magnoliopsida; Poales; Poaceae. The record is from Rfam by way of RNAcentral.